This 75-nucleotide transfer RNA is filed under the name Mycobacterium pseudokansasii. RNAcentral describes it as "Mycobacterium sp. MK142 tRNA-Arg". The record is from RNAcentral. Lineage: Bacteria; Bacillati; Actinomycetota; Actinomycetes; Mycobacteriales; Mycobacteriaceae.
GUUUGCGGUGGCCGAGGUUGUGGCGGUCGAUGCGGGCGGCUUUAGCCCGCGCCGCGGCUGCGCGCCGGUGAUCCC